CUGUAGUCUCUCAAGACAGCCUUUACCAAAUCCAUACUGAGGAAACUUGUAGGGGUAACAGAACUGAAGGCCUGCAGUCCGCCUCUCUAAUUCCAUCUCUGCCCGGUAGAAAUUUUCUAUUUCCUCUUUUCACCCAAACAAAGGCAUAAAACACAUCAGGCUUUAGACGUUUGGUGCAUGUAAAUCACUGACUCCCUUGAAGCAUGUUCCAGGAGCAAUAUAAAAAUGACAGCAUUUGUCCCUAUCCCAAAAAGUGAGAACAACUGGUUCCUAACAGGAAUUACACUUUUCUCUGCUCCUGCAAUUUUGGUAGAAACAUCAAAGGUAAGACAAUCCAAACAAGACAGUGACGUGAUUCUAUCAAGUCUAACAUGAUACUUGUACUAAUAUCCAUUUUAAAAAAGAAAAGUUCCAAAAUGCAGAUCAAUUUCUUUGUCACUUUUGUCCUCCAAAUUGACUUAACACCUAAAUUGUUACAGUAAGUUCAAUUUUCUACCAGAAUUUUAGCAGCUCUGACACCACAGAAGAGAAUGACUUCUGCAGAAAACCCUCUUUUGGGAAACAACUGUUCUUAAGCAAUCCCUAGCAGCUAUAUCACUGCAUUUAGACAUUCAGCUUUUCUAAAACUGAUUUUCUAUGCUAAUAUGGUGAGUAUUUAAAAAAACACCAAAAACCUCCUUGAUUCUCCACAACAAAUACUUCAGUCAUAUUCCUCUUCCUCAUCUUCAUUCAAUCCUCAUAGCACUGCCAGCAUUCCUUAUUUCUUCUGCUCUGAGGUUAAAUAAUCUCAGCAGGCGAAGUGUUUUUCUAUUGGAAAAUCAUCUAUUUUAUGGUUGUUUUCUAUGGACUCCUACAAAUGACAUAUGCCAGAAAGAGAAGCUUAUUUCCCCUGGGUAAGAACAAAUGAGUAACAGCUCAUAUAGAGCCAACUCCUUGGUUACUCAUGGCAGGUCAUUCAGUUACAAAUUAGCUAUGUCAUGCACAUAAAAACACCUGAGCUAGCUCCUUGCAAAACAAUUUUUUCAAUAAAUUGAUAUUGGUACAGCUUCUUCUGCAAACUGCACAGGUGGGUCUAAAAGAAAGGGCAAAAGGAAACAGCUAGAGACAAAAGAAUGAAGAAAGCAAGUCAAAACGCCAAGGGACUGGUUCUAUUUGUUAGUUUCCACAUACAAAAAUGGAUUGUUUUCAAAGGUUAUUUUCAUGUUUUAAACAAUUGGGGAAUGGUCAUAUUCAAAUCACUUAAGCACAUGCAGAUCAUUUGAGGACAGUGAGUUGUUAUUUGGUGUGGCAAUUAAAUUAUUUCCAUUUUCAGUUAACUCCCAGUGAAGUUCAAGGGAGUCUGAAGAAGCUGGGCUAGACCAUGAAUAAACAAUUUGAAAAAAAAAAAAAAAAACACAGAUCAGAGGUGCUAGCAAAAAGAAAAGAGGAUUCUUUGACUGCCAGGUCAAAAUACUUUUCUUGCUGUUACAUCAAAAUAUCUAGAUGUCAGGACAUCUCAUCCUGCUGCAGAGCACCAGCCUUCCCCAUUAGGAACAGGAUCAGAGGAAAUCCAGUGAUUCAGCGCAGACUCCUGUGAGAAAGCUAGGUGUUCUCAGCCAGUCACGGGGAAAGAAAUUCCUCAUUUUGUAUGUUUUCCUGCCAGCUUGACAAGGAAAAAUUUGUUAGUUAUUCCACCUUGCAAAUGCUUGUUCCAGUUAGUUGAUUGUGCAAGGACCAAGGAAUUUCUCCCAUUUUCAUGGCAGAACAUUCAAAAGCAGCAGUCUGAAGAAAGUUGUGGUGCUGUUUCCUAGCAGCAAGUGAUGAAUCUGCAACAGAAGCACUUGCUUAAUAUGCCACAUAUCAUGGGUAAGCUUCUACAUCUUGUCUAGUCUGCUGGUUUAUUCUUAGCACUCAGUUACACUUAGACACAGCAUCCAACCAUUGUUAGCAAAGCUAUUUUGAACUCAGUGGUCUGUAUCCCGUUAUAAAACUGGCAAUGGAAGAAUGGGCCCUAUAUCAUACAGUGGGAAAAACGACUCUCGAGUCUCUCCCCAGUCUGAUGUCAUGCUAAAGGAAGGUGUUUACACCAAUGAUACUGAAGCUGCUCUGCUGGUCCCUAACAGAUUCAACAGGACUGCUUUGAUGUUGGUACUGCUGCUGUGAUGACUGCAGAAACAGCCACUGCACAACCGCAGUGGGUUUACGUAUGUGAUUUCUCCUUCCUCUCCCAGUUGCAGUGUUGGAAAUAUAUGUAGGAUGUGGUGUAAGAAUAAUUAUAAUUUCUUAACAAGCUAUGGAUUUGGAGGGGGGAAGCAGUUCAGCAACUACUUCCAGAUGUCCCUCCCCAUCCAGACGAGCAGGAAUUCCCAGUAGGCAAAUGGACAGGUGUAACAACUUGACUCUCUUAAGAGGAAACAGGUGUGAAUGACAGAUGACCAAGCUAAAAAGCUUCCUCGAGUUACUCCAAAAUAUUUGGAUCUGAAGGGAUCGGUGUAUGCCUUACUUAGUCACUUCAAGCCCCCUGGAUGAACUGCAGAAGCAGGCUAAAAUAGUCACUGGGUUUGAAACCAGAAUUCUUUGCCUAAACCAGAUGGCAGAAGGAAUUGCCCCUACAGUAGGUAGCACAUAAAAGAUGAAGAGAGUAAGAAGUCUGAGACAGCAUGAUAUAGACACUGCCAUGGUUCUACACCUUCAGUUCAGCUCUGAACAAGACCACCUUCCUGCCAUGCUGCUAGUCCUACCUCCACAGGUGGUCUACAACACCCAUUUUCCAAGACUUUCUGAAACUAGGGAGCAACCACAAAUACCUGGCUGACUCCGUCUGGGGCAGGUAAGGGUCUGGCAGGGCUGCUGGCAGGCUGGCGCAAAUAAACUUUGAUUUAAAAACAGAACUGACGCAGAUCUCCAAGGCUAGCAUGGCCGUGACUAACCCCUCCGGGCUGGCAGUCGCUCCUGAGGGCGGUACAGCCGUACUGCUGGGUGCUGCCCGGGGCUGGGGACCAGGGCAGGUGCUGGGGAGCGCUGCGUGCAUCGCUGCGCCCGAGGCGCGGCCAGCACACGACCUUGGGUGAGACACACAAGGCAGCCGGGCACCGACUGACCGCCGGGUGCCGGUCACGGGGCAGCGGCCGGCAGCUCGGGCUGCUCACGGCCCGGUUGUUUUUUUGCGAGUGCCUCGCAAAAGGGUCCCUGAGGGGGUUCCGUUCCGCCGGGGCGCCCCAGGGGCUCAGCCCGGGCAGAGUUAUGUUGACUUGAGGACGGCGGGGCGCUUCCCCUCCCCAGAGCACACCCGGGCAGCCGCUCCAGCGCCUCAGAGCCGCCCGCCGCGGGCCCGCGUCCCCUGCCCGGCCUCCCCCACCCCCGGCCCGCUGCAGCCGGG
Molecule: long non-coding RNA, 3358 nt
Organism: Cygnus olor (mute swan)
Lineage: Eukaryota; Metazoa; Chordata; Aves; Anseriformes; Anatidae
Exons: 3
Source: RefSeq, a predicted model, not a curated record